GAUGAACGCUAGCGGCAGGCUUAACACAUGCAAGUCGAGGGGCAGCGCGGGAUAGCAAUAUCCUGGCGGCGACCGGCGGAAGGGUGCGUAACGCGUGAGCGACAUGCCCGUUGCCCGGGGACAACCGGUGGAAACGCCGACUAAUCCCCGAUGGGAUACGAUGCUUCAUGGCAUUGUAUUGAAAGUUACAGCGGCGACGGAUUGGCUCGCGUCCGAUUAGCUGGUUGGCGGGGUAACGGCCGGCCAAGGCUGCGAUCGGUAGGGGUUCUGAGAGGAAGGCCCCCCACAAUGGGACUGAGACACGGCCCAUACUCCUACGGGAGGCAGCAGUGAGGAAUAUUGGUCAAUGGGCGGAAGCCUGAACCAGCCAUGCCGCGUGCGGGAAGGAGGCCCUAUGGGCUGUGAACCGCUUUUGCCUGGGGGCAAUAAGGGCGUCGCGCACGUCCGAUGAGAGUACCAGGCGAAUAAGCAUCGGCUAACUCCGUG
Molecule: ribosomal RNA, 486 nt
Filed under: uncultured bacterium
Lineage: Bacteria
Description: partial 16S ribosomal RNA
Rfam family: Bacterial small subunit ribosomal RNA
Source: RNAcentral